RNAcentral lists this long non-coding RNA (273 nucleotides) under Olea europaea (common olive). RNAcentral describes it as "long non-coding RNA (OEUR_LNC009559)". Lineage: Eukaryota; Viridiplantae; Streptophyta; Magnoliopsida; Lamiales; Oleaceae. The record is from RNAcentral.
GACAUGGAACGGUCAAGCUUUGGCACCGGAGCGAGGAUGGAAACUGGCUAUUCGUAGACUCAUAGAAGCGGCGGCGAUUUCAGGCAUAGAGGCUGUACAUUGUAGCAUCGAGACUGAGAGAUGGAACUUGGAAGUAAUUUAUGAGAUAGGGUUCGGAUUGUAACUGAAGAGAUUGGAGAGGAAUUAGGAAUUGAGGAUCAAUUUGAGUUGGAGUGAUUUAGGAUUACUGUUUUUGACUCCUAACUCCUAUCUCUCUGUCUUUCUGAGUCCCCC